AAUCUUGCGCAAUGGGCGAAAGCCUGACGCAGCCAUGCCGCGUGAAUGAUGAAGGUCUUAGGAUUGUAAAGCUCUGUCCUAUGGGAAGAAACGGACGGUACCUUAGGAGGAAGCCCCGGCUAACUACGUGCCAGCAGCCGCGGUAAUACGUAGGGGGCGAGCGUUAUCCGGAAUUAUUGGGCGUAAAGGGUGCGUAGGCGGCCUUUUAAGUCAGAUGUGAAAGGCUACGGCUUAACCGUAGUUAGCAUUUGAAACUGAAAGACUUGAGUUAAGGAGAGGAAAGUGGAAUUCCUAGUGUAGCGGUGAAAUGCGUAGAUAUUAGGAGGAAUACCAGUGGCGAAGGCGACUUUCUGGACUUAUACUGACGCUGAGGAACGAAAGCGUGGGGAGCAAACAG
Molecule: ribosomal RNA, 397 nt
Filed under: uncultured bacterium
Lineage: Bacteria
Description: partial 16S ribosomal RNA
Rfam family: Bacterial small subunit ribosomal RNA
Source: RNAcentral